UCUCCGUCGGUGAACCAGCGGAGGGAUCAUUACAGAGUUUUCACACCUCCCAACACUUUCGAACCGUACCCAUUCUGUUCUCGUUGCUUCCGGCGGGGGGGACGGGGGGGCCCGAAACGGCCUCCCCGCCCCGCCCACCGGGGGCGGCGGGCCCUACGACCCUUUAUAUCCCAACCCCCAGAAACCGUACGAGAAAACAAACAAAAUAAUCAAAACUUUCAACCACGGAUCUCUUGGCUCUGGCAACGAUGAAGCAGACAGCAAAAGCGAAGAGCACAC
This 279-nucleotide unclassified non-coding RNA is filed under the name plant metagenome. RNAcentral describes it as "partial contains small subunit ribosomal RNA, internal transcribed spacer 1, and 5.8S ribosomal RNA". The record is from RNAcentral.